RNAcentral lists this ribosomal RNA (213 nucleotides) under Triticum aestivum (bread wheat). RNAcentral describes it as "partial small subunit ribosomal RNA". The record is from RNAcentral. Lineage: Eukaryota; Viridiplantae; Streptophyta; Magnoliopsida; Poales; Poaceae.
AUGAGCAAGGCCUUGUCACCACGUUAUCAAGGGCUGUCAACUUAUGAAAAGGAGUUCUUGGCAGUCAUUGUGGCAGUGGAUCAGUGGAGACUGUACCUACAACAUGCAGAGUUUGUGAUAUAUACAGACCAGAAGAGUCUAGUUCAUCUAGAGCAGCAAAGACUUACUACCCCUUGGCAACAAAAAGCUUUCACUAAACUCUUGGGCCUUUAG